GCACCGGUAGCUCAGUUGGAUAGAGCACCAGACUACGGAUCUGGGGGUCGUGGGUUCGAAUCCUUCCCGGUGCGCCA
Molecule: transfer RNA, 77 nt
Filed under: Hyphomicrobiales bacterium
Lineage: Bacteria; Pseudomonadati; Pseudomonadota; Alphaproteobacteria; Hyphomicrobiales
Also listed under: 2 other names
Description: Rhizobiales bacterium (sediment metagenome) tRNA-Arg
Rfam family: tRNA
About the family: Transfer RNA (tRNA) molecules are approximately 80 nucleotides in length. Their secondary structure includes four short double-helical elements and three loops (D, anti-codon, and T loops).
Source: RNAcentral